This 492-nucleotide ribosomal RNA is filed under the name uncultured bacterium. Its description in RNAcentral is "partial 16S ribosomal RNA". It matches the Rfam family "Bacterial small subunit ribosomal RNA", at positions 29 to 507 of the family's 1533-position model. The record is from RNAcentral.
AGUGAACGCUGGCGGUAGGCCUAACACAUGCAAGUCGAACGGCAGCACAGUAAGAGCUUGCUCUUACGGGUGGCGAGUGGCGGACGGGUGAGGAAUACAUCGGAAUCUACUUUUUCGUGGGGGAUAACGUAGGGAAACUUACGCUAAUACCGCAUACGACCUACGGGUGAAAGCAGGGGAUCUUCGGACCUUGCGCGAUUGAAUGAGCCGAUGUCGGAUUAGCUAGUUUGCGGGGUAAAGGCCCACCAAGGCGACGAUCCGUAGCUGGUCUGAGAGGAUGAUCAGCCACACUGGAACUGAGACACGGUCCAGACUCCUACGGGAGGCAGCAGUGGGGAAUAUUGGACAAUGGGCGCAAGCCUGAUCCAGCCAUACCGCGUGGGUGAAGAAGGCCUUCGGGUUGUAAAGCACUUUUGUUGGGAAAGAAAAGCAGCAGGUUAAUACCCCGCUGUUCUGACGGUACCAAAAGAAUAAGCACCGGCUAACUUCGUG